RNAcentral lists this long non-coding RNA (208 nucleotides) under Salvia miltiorrhiza (redroot sage). Its description in RNAcentral is "long non-coding RNA (SMIL_LNC003412)". The record is from RNAcentral. Lineage: Eukaryota; Viridiplantae; Streptophyta; Magnoliopsida; Lamiales; Lamiaceae.
UUUCACUGACACGCCCGAUUGAGAGAGAGGAAGGCGGCGGAGCUGUUGUUGUUGAGGAGAAGGCGGCACUACGAACCGGCAACGCUGUCGCCGAGAGAGAGGAGAUGUGCGGCGGCAGACUUGUGUAGUUGUGGAGGAGAGUUGCGGCGCAGCGGUGGUAAAAUUUUAGGGCUUUGAAUCGAAAAUUCAAACUGAAGAAGGGAAGGAA